AUGGCGCCGGCAGGCAGCCGGCCGGCGGCUCUCGGGCUCCCCUCGCCGGUGAGCCCGGGUGAGGGCAGGCGGCCGGGGAGACGUCCUUGGGCGAAGGGCAGAGGGGCUGCCGACCCCCGGGCUUCCUCGGUGGUGCUCUGCAGCCCUCGGGUGGCGAAGGUCCUGGUGGUGAAGGUUCUGGAAACAAAGCCCUCUCCUCCAGGCCCGUGCUGCUGUAGGACAGAUUGGACGGUACGGUGGGUGCUUUGCCGGAGCGCUGGACGUGAAGCGACAUCUGUGGUAUUUUACCUUGUUCCUGUGCAAAGUGCACCCCGAGUUUAGGAGAGCGAUGCUGCUUAGGUCACUGUUUAUAAUGUAGCUGCAUCUGAAGAACUAGGAAGUGGCUCUGU
This 389-nucleotide long non-coding RNA is filed under the name Anas zonorhyncha (Eastern spot-billed duck). RNAcentral describes it as "lncRNA (ENSAZOG00000001848.1)". Lineage: Eukaryota; Metazoa; Chordata; Aves; Anseriformes; Anatidae. The record is from RNAcentral.